RNAcentral lists this ribosomal RNA (934 nucleotides) under Pseudomonas sp. RNAcentral's name for it is "bacterial SSU rRNA". It matches the Rfam family "Bacterial small subunit ribosomal RNA", at positions 56 to 966 of the family's 1533-position model. The record is from RNAcentral. Lineage: Bacteria; Pseudomonadati; Pseudomonadota; Gammaproteobacteria; Pseudomonadales; Pseudomonadaceae.
UGCAAGUCGAGCGGUAGAGAGGUGCUUGCACCUCUUGAGAGCGGCGGACGGGUGAGUAAUGCCUAGGAAUCUGCCUGGUAGUGGGGGAUAACGUUCGGAAACGGACGCUAAUACCGCAUACGUCCUACGGGAGAAAGCAGGGGACCUUCGGGCCUUGCGCUAUCAGAUGAGCCUAGGUCGGAUUAGCUAGUUGGUGAGGUAAUGGCUCACCAAGGCGACGAUCCGUAACUGGUCUGAGAGGAUGAUCAGUCACACUGGAACUGAGACACGGUCCAGACUCCUACGGGAGGCAGCAGUGGGGAAUAUUGGACAAUGGGCGAAAGCCUGAUCCAGCCAUGCCGCGUGUGUGAAGAAGGUCUUCGGAUUGUAAAGCACUUUAAGUUGGGAGGAAGGGUUGUAGAUUAAUACUCUGCAAUUUUGACGUUACCGACAGAAUAAGCACCGGCUAACUCUGUGCCAGCAGCCGCGGUAAUACAGAGGGUGCAAGCGUUAAUCGGAAUUACUGGGCGUAAAGCGCGCGUAGGUGGUUCGUUAAGUUGGAUGUGAAAGCCCCGGGCUCAACCUGGGAACUGCAUUCAAAACUGUCGAGCUAGAGUAUGGUAGAGGGGUGGGGGGGAAUUUCCUGGUGUAGCGGUGAAAUGCGUAGAUAUAGGAAGGAACACCAGUGGCGAAGGCGACCACCUGGACUGAUACUGACACUGAGGUGCGAAAGCGUGGGGAGCAAACAGGAUUAGAUACCCUGGUAGUCCACGCCGUAAACGAUGUCAACUAGCCGUUGGGAGCCUUGAGCUCUUAGUGGCGCAGCUAACGCAUUAAGUUGACCGCCCUGGGGAAGUACGGCCCGCAAGGUUAAAAACUCAAAUGAAAUUGACGGGGGGCCCGGCACAAGCGGUGGGAAGCAUGGUGGUUUUAAAUUCGAAAGCCAACGCCGAAA